RNAcentral lists this ribosomal RNA (450 nucleotides) under uncultured bacterium. Its description in RNAcentral is "bacterial SSU rRNA". It matches the Rfam family "Bacterial small subunit ribosomal RNA", at positions 354 to 796 of the family's 1533-position model. The record is from RNAcentral.
GUGGGGAAUAUUGCGCAAUGGGGGAAACCCUGACGCAGCGACGCCGUGUGAGUGAUGAAGGCCUUCGGGUCGUAAAGCUCUGUUAGGAGGGAAGAAAAGUGCAUGGCUAAUACCUAUGCAACUUGACGGUACCUUCGGAGGAAGCACCGGCAAACUCCGUGCCAGCAGCCGCGGUAAUACGGAGGGUGCAAGCGUUGUUCGGAAUUACUGGGCGUAAAGAGCGUGUAGGCGGCCAGUCAAGUCAGAUGUGAAAUCCCUGAGCUUAACUCAGGAACUGCAUCUGAAACUGAUUGGCUCGAGUACAGGAGAGGAAGGUGGAAUUCCUGGUGUAGAGGUGAAAUUCGUAGAUAUCGGGAAGAACACCGGUGGCGAAGGCGGCCUUCUGGCCUGAUACUGACGCUGAGACGCGAAAGCGUGGGGAGCAAACAGGAUUAGAAACCCUUGUAGUCC